AGAUUUCUGAAUCCGUCCUGAGGUUUUGUCAAACACCAACCCAUUAGGGCUGAUCAGACUUCCAAGAUAAGUGAAGUU
RNAcentral lists this microRNA precursor (78 nucleotides) under Schistosoma haematobium. RNAcentral's name for it is "mir-3492 microRNA precursor family". It matches the Rfam family "mir-3492 microRNA precursor family". The record is from Rfam by way of RNAcentral. Lineage: Eukaryota; Metazoa; Platyhelminthes; Trematoda; Strigeidida; Schistosomatidae.